This 274-nucleotide ribosomal RNA is filed under the name uncultured bacterium. RNAcentral describes it as "partial 16S ribosomal RNA". It matches the Rfam family "Archaeal small subunit ribosomal RNA", at positions 473 to 747 of the family's 1478-position model. The record is from RNAcentral.
AAACCAGCACCUCAAGUGGUCAGGAUGAUUAUUGGGCCUAAAGCAUCCGUAGCCGGCUCUGUAAGUUUUCGGUUAAAUCUGUAUGCUCAACAUACAGGCUGCCGGGAAUACUGCAGAGCUAGGGAGUGGGAGAGGUAGACGGUACUCGGGAGGAAGGGGUAAAAUCCUUUGAUCUCUCGAUGACCACCUGUGGCGAAGGCGGUCUACCAGAACACGUCCGACGGUGAGGGAUGAAAGCUGGGGGAGCAAACCGGAUUAGAAACCCGAGUAGUCC